RNAcentral lists this ribosomal RNA (3259 nucleotides) under Clostridioides difficile. Its description in RNAcentral is "bacterial SSU rRNA". The stretch from base 2 to 891 matches the Rfam family "Bacterial small subunit ribosomal RNA", at positions 9 to 873 of the family's 1533-position model. Lineage: Bacteria; Bacillati; Bacillota; Clostridia; Peptostreptococcales; Peptostreptococcaceae. The record is from RNAcentral.
AGAGUUUGAUCCUGGCUCAGGAUGAACGCUGGCGGCGUGCCUAACACAUGCAAGUUGAGCGAUUUACUUCGGUAAAGAGCGGCGGACGGGUGAGUAACGCGUGGGUAACCUACCCUGUACACACGGAUAACAUACCGAAAGGUAUGCUAAUACGGGAUAAUAUAUUUGAGAGGCAUCUCUUGAAUAUCAAAGGUGAGCCAGUACAGGAUGGACCCGCGUCUGAUUAGCUAGUUGGUAAGGUAACGGCUUACCAAGGCGACGAUCAGUAGCCGACCUGAGAGGGUGAUCGGCCACAUUGGAACUGAGACACGGUCCAAACUCCUACGGGAGGCAGCAGUGGGGAAUAUUGCACAAUGGGCGAAAGCCUGAUGCAGCAACGCCGCGUGAGUGAUGAAGGCCUUCGGGUCGUAAAACUCUGUCCUCAAGGAAGAUAAUGACGGUACUUGAGGAGGAAGCCCCGGCUAACUACGUGCCAGCAGCCGCGGUAAUACGUAGGGGGCUAGCGUUAUCCGGAUUUACUGGGCGUAAAGGGUGCGUAGGCGGUCUUUCAAGUCAGGAGUGAAAGGCUACGGCUCAACCGUAGUAAGCUCUUGAAACUGGGAGACUUGAGUGCAGGAGAGGAGAGUGGAAUUCCUAGUGUAGCGGUGAAAUGCGUAGAUAUUAGGAGGAACACCAGUUGCGAAGGCGGCUCUCUGGACUGUAACUGACGCUGAGGCACGAAAGCGUGGGGAGCAAACAGGAUUAGAUACCCUGGUAGUCCACGCUGUAAACGAUGAGUACUAGGUGUCGGGGGUUACCCCCNUGGAGAGGUGUCCGAGUGGUUUAAGGAGCUGGUCUUGAAAACCAGUGACUUCGAAAGGGGCCGUGGGUUCGAAUCCCACCCUCUCCGCCAAAUGCCCAGAUAGCUCAGUCGGUAGAGCAGGGGACUGAAAAUCCCCGUGUCGGUGGUUCGAUUCCGCCUCUGGGCACCAAAAUGUGGCGGUAUAGCUUAGUUGGCUAGAGCGUUCGGUUCAUACCCGAAAGGUCAUAGGUUCGACUCCUAUUACCGCUACUAAAAUUUAAUGUGGGCCAUUAGCUCAGUUGGUUAGAGCGCCCGGCUCAUAACCGGUAGGUCUGGGGUUCGAGUCCCUGAUGGCCCACCACAUUAAAUUAACUUAUGGUGGGUAUAGCUCAGUUGGUUAGAGCGCCAGAUUGUGGCUCUGGAGGUCGUGAGUUCGACUCUCAUUAUCCACCCCAAAUUAUAUGGUCUAUUAGCUCAGUCGGUAGAGCACCUGACUUUUAAUCAGGGUGUCCCGCGUUCGAGUCGCGGAUAGAUCACCAAAAAGGCGGCGACAUAGCCAAGUGGUAAGGCAGUGGACUGCAACUCCUUGAUCCCCAGUUCGAAUCUGGGUGUCGCCUCCAAUAAAUGCGCUCAUAGCUCAACUGGAUAGAGUGUCUGACUACGAAUCAGAAGGUUAGGGGUUCGAGUCCCUUUGGGCGCACCAUAUAAAUAGCGAGGGAUUAUAGCUCAGCUGGGAGAGCACCUGCCUUACAAGCAGGGGGUCACAGGUUCGAGCCCUGUUAAUCCCACCAGUGCAAACCUCUAGUAAAACUACUAGAGGUUUUAUUUUUGAUUGAAAAAGUUUUUAUAUUUAGGAGGUAAGAAACUUGUAUAUAGUAAUAGGAAAUGAAAUAGUUGAUAGUGAAGAACUUAAAAUAAUUAUAGAUAAAAAUAGUACAUUUAAAGUUGAAAAAGAUUUAAGUAAAAGCACAAAAAGAGAAGAUGUAAUAGCAUAUCAGUUAAGUAUAGAUUUAAAUUACUUAGAUUCUCUUAUAAAUGAGCAAUGUAAUUUAGCCAGUCUAUCUGAUGAAGAGAAAUUUGAUGAAUAUAUGACUUUAUCUGAUGAACUUGCACUGGAUUUAGAAGAGCUAAUGCCAAAAUAUACAAUAAUAAAUGCUAGAGCAUAUAAAUUAGACGAGGUAGAUGGAAUUGUAAAAAUAAUACUAGCUGUAGCGUAUGCAGAUUUAGGGCACUUAAAACUUUCUGAUGUAGUAAAGAGGCUAUCUAGACAAGUAGAUUAGGAUAUGAAUAUGAACUAUAUUAAAAAAAUGUAUAAAAUCUUACGUAAAGAUGAAAAUAAUUAUGUAAACAUAGAAAAAAACAGUAUAAAAUCAAGUCAAUUGUAGGAAUUUUCACAUAAAUUCAUCUGAAAUUCUAUAAAAAAUGCCUUAAUUUUAAUGAGGUAAAUCGAGUUUACACAGUCUAAAAAUUACUUAUAUUUAUAAAUUUAUCUUAUUAAUUAAGGAACUUUCUUAAACAUCUUCAAAAAUAAAGUAUUUUAGUCUAUAAUCUUUAAUAUUACACAAACAAUAAAGGAGAAGAAUAGAGUAUGCUUAAAAAGUUUAAUAAAAUACUAGUGGCUAAUAGAGGCGAAAUAGCUAUAAGAAUAUUUAGAGCCUGUUCAGAAUUGGGGAUAAAAAGUGUUGGUAUAUACAGUAAGGAAGAUAAAUAUGGAUUGUUUAGAACAAAAGCAGAUGAAUCAUAUUUGAUAGGAGAAGGUAAAGGGCCAAUAGAUGCAUAUUUAGAUAUGGAUGGAAUAAUAGACCUAGCAAAGAGAAAAAAAGUUGAUGCUAUACAUCCAGGAUAUGGUUUUCUAGCGGAGAAUGCAGAAUUUGCUCGUAAAUGUGAAGAGAAUGGAAUUACUUUUAUAGGACCAUCAUCUAAGGUAAUGAAUAUGAUGGGGGAUAAGAUUAACUCUAAAAAAAUCGCAAAAGAAGUUAAUGUUCAAACUAUACCAGGAGUAGAAAAAGCAAUAAGAAGUACUGAAGAAGCAAAGGAAGUUGCAAACAAAAUAGGCUAUCCUGUUAUGAUAAAAGCAUCUAAUGGUGGUGGCGGUAGAGGUAUGAGAAUUGUACAUCGCGAAGAAGACUUAGAGCUUGAAUAUGAAACUGCUUGUAGUGAAUCAAGAAAAGCUUUUGGAGAAGAUAUUAUAUUUAUAGAAAAAUAUAUAGCUGAUCCAAAACAUAUAGAAGUUCAAAUAUUAGGAGAUAACUAUGGAAAUAUAGUUCACUUAUAUGAAAGAGAUUGUUCUGUUCAAAGAAGACAUCAAAAAAUAAUAGAAUAUGCACCAGCUUUUUCGUUAGAUGAUAAAGUAAGAAAAGAGAUAUGUGAAGAUGCAGUUAAGUUAUCAAAACAUGUGGGUUAUUCUAAUGCAGGAACAUUAGAAUUUUUAGUAGAUGCAAAUGGUGGGCAUUAUUUUAUAGAGAUGAACACAAGAGU